RNAcentral lists this ribosomal RNA (703 nucleotides) under uncultured Bacteroidota bacterium. RNAcentral describes it as "bacterial SSU rRNA". It matches the Rfam family "Bacterial small subunit ribosomal RNA", at positions 65 to 766 of the family's 1533-position model. The record is from RNAcentral. Lineage: Bacteria; Pseudomonadati; Bacteroidota.
CACGAGAAAGCGCCUUCGGGCGUGAGUACAGUGGCGGACGGGUGAGUAACGCGUAUGCAACCUACCCUUGAGCGGGGGACAAUCACGGGAAACCGUGGCUAAUACCGCAUAAAAUCUCGGUUGCGCCUGCAACCGAGAUCAAAGCCUUCGGGCGCUCUUGGAUGGGCAUGCGUCGGAUUAGCUUGUUGGUGAGGUAGAAGCUCACCAAGGCAACGAUCCGUAGCUGGUCUGAGAGGAUGAUCAGCCACACUGGCACUGAGACACGGGCCAGACUCCUACGGGAGGCAGCAGUGGGGAAUCUUGCACAAUGGAGGAAACUCUGAUGCAGCCACGCCGCGUGGAGGAAGACACCCCUAUGGGGCGUAAACUCCUUUUCUGCCGGAAGAAAACCCUGGUCUCCAGGGCGUGACGGUACGGCAGGAAUAAGCACCGGCUAACUCCGUGCCAGCAGCCGCGGUAAUACGGAGGGUGCAAGCGUUGUCCGGAAUUACUGGGUGUAAAGGGUGCGCAGGCGGGGCAGCAAGUCAGAGGUGAAAGCCCACGGCUUAACCGUGGAAGUGCCUUUGAAACUGCUGUUCUUGAGUCCCGGAGAGGUCGUCGGAAUUCGUGGUGUAGCGGUGAAAUGCGUAGAUAUCACGAGGAACACCAGAGGCGAAAGCGGACGACUGGACGGGUACUGACGCUCAGGCACGAAAGCGUGGGG